This 551-nucleotide ribosomal RNA is filed under the name Trachinotus ovatus (derbio). RNAcentral describes it as "partial 16S ribosomal RNA". It matches the Rfam family "Bacterial large subunit ribosomal RNA", at positions 591 to 1347 of the family's 2925-position model. The record is from RNAcentral. Lineage: Eukaryota; Metazoa; Chordata; Actinopteri; Carangiformes; Carangidae.
AUCUAGACUCGUACCUUUUGCAUCAUGAUUUAGCUAGAAAACCUCAAGCAAAGAGCACUUUAGUUUGAUUCCCCGAAACUACGUGAGCUACUCCAAGACAGCCUAACAACUAGGGCAAACCCGUCUCUGUGGCAAAAGAGUGGGAAGAUCUUUGAGUAGAGGUGACAGACCUAUCGAACCUAGUUAUAGCUGGUUGCCUGGGAAAUGAAUAGAAGUUCAGCCUCUCGGAUUCUCCCCUCACUCCACCCACCCCCUCCGACAACUAAAAGAAACCGAAAGAGUUAGUCGAAGGGGGUACAGCCCCUUUGACACAAGAUACAACUUUCCCAGAAGGCUAAAGAUCAUAUCCAGCACCAAGGUAAAAUGUUUAGGUGGGCCCAAAAGCAGCCACCCCAUAGAAUGCGUUAAAGCUCAGACAUGACUACCACCCCCAAUCCUGACAAUCUUAUCUUAACCCCCUAACCCUACCAGGCCAUUCCAUGCAGACAUGGAAGUGACCAUGCUAAUAUGAGUAAUAAGAGAGUAUAAACCUCUCUCCUUGCACAAGUGUA